UACGAAGGGGGCGAGCGUUGUUCGGAUUUACUGGGCGUAAAGGGCGCGUAGGCGGCCCUCCUUGUCGCGUGUGAAAGCCCCGGGCUCAACCUGGGAAUUGCGCGCGAAACGGGGGGGCUUGAGUUCUGGAGAGGAAGGCGGAAUUCUCGGUGUAGAGGUGAAAUUCGUAGAUAUCGAGAGGAACACCGGUGGCGAAGGCGGCCUUCUGGACAGUGACUGACGCUGAGACGCGAAAGCGUGGGGAGCAAACAGG
RNAcentral lists this ribosomal RNA (253 nucleotides) under uncultured bacterium. RNAcentral describes it as "partial 16S ribosomal RNA". It matches the Rfam family "Bacterial small subunit ribosomal RNA", at positions 524 to 776 of the family's 1533-position model. The record is from RNAcentral.